UGUCGUCUUUGGCAGGAAUGUCACUGGGUGACUUGAAAUAAAGCACUUGUUAAAGCGGAGCCAUCACAGCUACUGCAGUACCCAGGAAAUACCGGGACAGUUACAAACAGUGUUCUGCCUUUCAUUUUUGUUGCCAUUUAGAAGCUGCUUCCCAGUGAGAUGAAAUGAGAUUCCAGGACAUAGGUCCUCCUUUCCCUCUUUGGCAGGAAAGGCAUUCUCCCGAAAGUUCCAGGCGGAACAAGGACUAGAAGAAUGUAAUGGAGCAUGCAUCUG
Long non-coding RNA from Gymnogyps californianus (California condor), 273 nucleotides. RefSeq lists it as uncharacterized. Lineage: Eukaryota; Metazoa; Chordata; Aves; Accipitriformes; Cathartidae. The record is from RefSeq and is a predicted model, not a curated record. The transcript is spliced from 3 exons.